GCGGGGUCUCUGUCAAACAUGACUCGUAUUAUUCGGCGGGAGGAAGUGUCCUGGCAUUGAUUGGAAAUGUGCUUUUGUAAAAAUCUUCCCUCCUCACGUAUUACGAGCUAUAACCUUGUAAUGUGUUUCUACUCAUCGAGGUGAAAGGAAACGAACCUCUCGGAAAGUUUAUACUUGGAAAAAGAUCCCCUCGUCUGCCACUACACUUCUCUGGAAUUGACACAACUCAGUGACGCAUUUAUUCUCGUUAUAAAGGGUUCAAAGAACCGGACCCCCAGCUCCACCCCUCCCUAUUUUCUUCAUUAGCUCCCUCCGAGGGGCCACCGAAAAGAGCGGUGGGUAUAGGCCCCCUCUCCUCGAGCUAUGCCCCUGGCUUAAAUCAUUGUAUUCACGUUUCCCUUGUUGACUCACUUUUUUCAAAUAGUUUAAAAAAACACCUUUUUUUUCCUGUUUCAAACAGGGAUUGCUGCAAAAGUCGUUGCAUGGUGGACUGCUGUUGUAUUCAAGCCACACAAUAAAGCUACUUCCUUUAUUGUAAGCAGUCUCUUAAGAUAAUACAGCCAUCAGGAGCCAAGCAAGCAGUGAGCCAAGCAAGACUGCUCUCUCAUUGCUCUCUGCUCUCUUUUAUACAUUAGAUACACUGAUCCCUUUCAGCUGGUUCUCAUACUCAACCCCUUUAAGGAACAGUAUUUUAAAAUCACAUCACCAUAUUUCUCCCCACUUAAUUAAAAUUAACACACAAUUUUUACAUUAUAUAAUCCUUAGUCCAUACUGGUAAACGUCUUGCACGAACUGACCACCCUUCAGCUCCCCUUUGCUCUUGAUCCUGUUCAUUUCCUCUUUGAACCUCUUCUCUGGAUUGGAAUUCAGCCACUGGGUCGGAAUUAUCGGGUGCUGUUUGUGAAAUGCCACCCUCUCCUUACUCACAGGAGCCAAAUGGGAAGCAUUCCACACUCUCCCACCCGACUACUGAUAGGUAUACUUUCCUUUCCUUUCAAUGACUUUAUGAGGAGAUGUAAAUCUACUCUUCCCUUUUCCUCUAAUUCCUGGUUUCUUCACCCGUACAUAUGAACCACAUUUAAAUUCUCGUUCCUUAGCCCCCUCAAGACUGAUCUAUAUACACUCUGGACUCCUCUUGUUUCUUUUCCACCCUUCUCAUAUCCUGCUCUGAAUAAAUUUCUGGCCUUGAUUUUACUACCCCAGCCACAUUCAAGUUAGUCUGCAUUUCUCUCCCAUGCAACAAUUCCACAGGUGAUUUCUGUAUUAUUGCAUGUUGUGUAGCUCUAUAUACCUGCAAGAAUUCAGUAGUACAGGCUUUCCAUGCUUUCCCUUCUAGUCUUGCUGUUUGUAAGCUAUCUUUUAAGGUUCUAUUGAACCUUUCAAUUUCCCCAUUCGCUUGGAGUUAAUAUACAGGUGUUCUCCUAUGUAUGAUAUUACGUUCUGUUAGAAAUGUUUCAAAUUCCCAAGAGAUAACCUGAGUCCCAUUAUCAGAAGAUAUCUCUUUAGGAUUUCCUUCCCUACUGAAAACACUAGUAAGAAAUUUAACAACUAUAGCAGAAGUAGUUUGUGAUGGGAAUGCUACUUCAAGCCAUUUACUAUAAUAAUCAAUUAAAGUAAUGUCAUAUUGGCAAUCCACAGAAGCCCCAUCCAAAGGGCCUACUAUAUCAAUGGCUACCUUUUCCCAAGCAUCAUCUUGAAGUGGCACUGGCUGUAAUGGUAUAGGCCUUGUUAUUGCUGUCUUAUCAUAUGACUGGCAAAUAGUGCAUGAUUUUAUUGCUGCUUCCACUUGGGAAUCCAUUUCUAGCCACCAAUAUAAAUCCCGCAAUCUUUGUUUAGUUCUCACCACUCCUUGAUGAGUAUCAUGUGUCAACUGUAUAAUCAUUUGCUGUAAUUCUUCUGGCACAAGCAGCCAGUAUGCCCCCUGGGGCACAUAUUCAUCCUGCACUGAAAGUUCCUCCUAAAUCCUAUAAUAAGGCAGCAACACAGGCCUGAUCUUCCUCUUAUGCUUAGGCUACUUGCCCAUCAUAUAUUCGCACAAACUCUGCUGAACUGGACAUGUCCUGCAUGCAGUCUGAAAUUGUUCUUUUGUCACUGCCAUAAGGGCAUUAGAGAUAAUUGUGACUACUUCCUCAUCACCUCUAUCAACCAUUACUUCUGAAGCUGGUAAAGGCAAUCAGGAUAAACAAUCAGCUGUAACAUUAUGUAUUCCCGGUCUAUAUUCCAUCUCAUAAGUAAAAGCAAGCAAUUUUGCAGUCCACCUAGCAAUAUGACUACCUGCUUGUCCCAUUCCUUUUGUGGUCAAUAAUGCUGUUAAUGGUUUAUGAUCAGUACAUAGCUUAAACAUCUGACCCUACAGGUAAGUUCUCCAUUUUUCAACAGACCACACACAUGCAAGCGCUGCCUUUUCAACAGUUGAAUAUUUCCUUUCCACAUCAGUAAGUGUUCUUGAUGCAAAUGCAACAGUUUUCUCUACAUUCCCUUCAUAUACCUGUGUAAGUAUUAUUAUUAUUAUUUAUUCGAUUUCUAUACCGCCCUUCCAAAAAAUGGCUCAAGGCGGUUUACAGAGAAAUAAUAAAUAAAUAAGAUGGAUCCCUGUCCCCAAAGGGCUCACAGUCUAAAAGAAACAUAAGAUAGACACCAGCAACAGUCACUGGAAGUACUGUGCUGUGGGUGGAUAGGACCAGUUACUCUCCCCCUGCUAAAUAAAGAGAAUCACCACGUUAAAAGGUGCCUCUUUGCCAAGUUAGCAGGGGUUAGCUGUAUAGCACCUAGCUCAUAAUCAGAGGCAUCUGUUGUCACAAUUAUAGGUAACACUGGAUCAAACAAUAUCAAUGCAGGGCUAUCAACAAUUAACCUCUUAACAUUCUCAAAAUUUGUCUGUGCUGCUACUGUCCAAUUCAAACUUGCAGUUCCCCUUAACUCUCAAAGAUGCUCCACCACAGAUGCAUAAUUUGGAAUGAAUUUAGUAUACCAUGAGGUCAAACCCCAAAAGGAACACAAAAUCUGCAUAUCCCUUGGGGAAGGUGCCUCUAGGAUUGCUGCCACAUGAUCACUCUUAGGCUUCAAUCCCUGAACUGAAAUGGUAUGACCCAAGAAGAAAAGUUCUGUUUGUCUCCAUUUACAUUUUUCCAAAUUAAGCCUCAACCCUGCUUCCUUAAUGCAAUCCAAAACUGACCUCAAAUUAUUUUCAUGUUCUUCCACAGUUUCUCCAAAUACAAUUAUAUCAUUGAAAUAACAUUGUGCCCCUUUCUGUUCUUUCAAAAUAAUAGACAUCAUUCUCUGGAAAGCACUAGGUGCUAAGGCAAGCCCAUAAGUAACAUGGUUAUACUGGAAAAGUCUAUCAUGAGUAAUAAAUGUUGUAAGAUCUCUACUAUCUUCAUCAGGGCUGUCCUUAGGGCAUGGCAAGCAGGGCGACCGCCCCGGGCCCCACUUUUUUAACCCCCAUUGGAAUUAACUGGAAGGGGGCCCCGCACUGACUGAUUUGCCCCGGGCCCUACACCCCACCAGGGCUCUCUAAGGACAGCCCUGAUCCUCAUGCAAUAGAACUUGAUGAUAUGCACUUUGUAAAUCAAGGGUUGAAAACAUCUUUGCCCUUCGUAAUUCUGAGAAUAUUUCCUCUAUAUGAGGGAGUGGGUGUCUAUCAGUUACAAUGGCCUUAUUAGGCUCUCUUAAAUCCAGACCAUCCUUCUUCUUUUUCACUACUAUAAGUGAAACCCAUUCUGAGGAUUCGACCUCUUCAAUAAUAUCAUUUGCCCUCAUUUCCUUAAGUUCCUGUGAUACUGCUGCCCUGAGCAUAAAUGGUAAUCAUAGUAGUUUUUGUUGUAUAGGUACCACAUUCUGUUUCAUUUCGAGUUUAUGAAUAAACCCCUUAGCACAACCCACUCCAUUCUGAUACUGCUCCUCCCCUAUAGUUGCAACAGGUAUGUCUUUUGAAGUAGUUUUUAACUGGGGAGGCACAACCUUUCCAUCUAUUACUCACAAACCUAAUGCAGCAAAUUUCUUUCUCCCAAGAAUAGGAAUACCACAAGAAGCAAUAUAAAACUCUGCUACUGUACUACAUGGGCCAAAUGUUAUCCUUACAGUGCCAGCGAUGUACAUGGAACUUUACAGAGAAUACGAGCAAGCAAGCAAGCAAGCAAGCAAGCAAGAAAGAAAGAAAGAAAG
This is a long non-coding RNA of Hemicordylus capensis (graceful crag lizard), 4164 nucleotides long. RefSeq lists it as uncharacterized. The transcript has 2 exons. NCBI's taxonomy places the organism in Eukaryota, Metazoa, Chordata, Lepidosauria, Squamata, Cordylidae. The record is from RefSeq and is a predicted model, not a curated record.